Molecule: ribosomal RNA, 376 nt
Filed under: uncultured organism
Description: partial 16S ribosomal RNA
Rfam family: Bacterial small subunit ribosomal RNA
Source: RNAcentral
GUAGGUGGCAAGCGUUGUCCGGAAUUAUUGGGGCGUAAAGCGCGCGCAGGUGGUUCUUUAAGUCUGAUGUGAAAGCCCCCCGGGCUCAACCGGGGGAGGGUCAUUGGAAACUGGGGAACUUGAGUGCAGGAGAGGAAAGUGGAAUUCCACGUGUAGCGGUGAAAUGCGUAGAUAUGUGGAGGAACACCAGUGGCGAAGGCGACUUUCUGGCCUGUAACUGACACUGAGGCGCGAAAGCGUGGGGAGCAAACAGGAUUAGAUACCCUGGUAGUCCACGCCGUAAACGAUGAGUGCUAAGUGUUGGGGGGUCUCCGCCCCUCAGUGCUGCAGCUAACGCAUUAAGCACUCCGCCUGGGGAGUACGGUCGCAAAGACUG